RNAcentral lists this ribosomal RNA (343 nucleotides) under uncultured bacterium. RNAcentral describes it as "bacterial SSU rRNA". It matches the Rfam family "Bacterial small subunit ribosomal RNA", at positions 457 to 793 of the family's 1533-position model. The record is from RNAcentral.
UAGCUGCAUUAUUUGACGUUAGCGACAGAAGAAGCACCGGCUAACUCCGUGCCAGCAGCCGCGGUAAUACGGAGGGUGCGAGCGUUAAUCGGAAUUACUGGGCGUAAAGCGCAUGCAGGUGGUUUGUUAAGUUCAGAUGUGAAAGACCCGGGGCGUCAACCUCGGAAUAGCAUUUGAAACUAGGCAGACUAGAGUACUGUAGAGGGGGGUAGGAAUUUCAGGUGUAGCGGUGAAAUGCGUAGAGAUCUGAAGGAAUACCGGUGGCGAAGGCGGCCCCCUCGGACAGAUACUGACACUCAGAUGCGAAAGCGUGGGGAGCAAACAGGAUUAGAUACCCUGGUAG